ACGCUCGACACCUACGGAGGCAGCAGUGGGGGAUAUUGCACAAUGGGGGAAACCCUGAUGCAGCAACGCCGCGUGAAGGAAGAAGGUCUUCGGAUUGUAAACUUCUGUCCUCAGGGAAGAUAAUGACGGUACCUGAGGAGGAAGCUCCGGCUAACUACGUGACAGCAGCCGCGGUAAUCUGAGGCGGGCUGGCAAGGC
This 198-nucleotide ribosomal RNA is filed under the name uncultured bacterium. Its description in RNAcentral is "partial 16S ribosomal RNA". It matches the Rfam family "Bacterial small subunit ribosomal RNA", at positions 328 to 539 of the family's 1533-position model. The record is from RNAcentral.